This 401-nucleotide ribosomal RNA is filed under the name Odostomia acuta. RNAcentral describes it as "partial 16S ribosomal RNA". It matches the Rfam family "Archaeal large subunit ribosomal RNA", at positions 1908 to 2650 of the family's 2987-position model. The record is from RNAcentral. Lineage: Eukaryota; Metazoa; Mollusca; Gastropoda; Pyramidellidae.
AGCUAAAAGAAACAAAUAUUUUUAGUAAUCCCUGCUUAACGCUUAUUUAGUGAUAGCCGCAGUAAUUUGACUGUGCUAAGGUAGCAUAAUCACUUGGCUUUUAAUUGAAGUCUAGAAUGAACGGGAACUAAAGGCAAGCUGUCCUCAGCCUAGGUAUUUUAAUUUACUUAGUGGGUGAAAAUUCUCACAUAUAGAAGAAAGACGAGAAGACCCUGGGAAUUUAACUAUUUUGUUGGGGCAACAAGGAAGAAAAUAUAAUAUACCCUUUCAAUUUUUGGCUAAAGAAUCCUUUAUGUUAUCUAGAAAAUUACCCCAGGGAUAACAGCACUAUAUAUAAAUUUGCUUGUGACCUCGAUGUGGACUAGGGAAGAAAUAAUAAGAAGUUAUUUUUUUGGGCUCUG